RNAcentral lists this unclassified non-coding RNA (328 nucleotides) under fungal sp. RNAcentral's name for it is "partial internal transcribed spacer region". The stretch from base 1 to 46 matches the Rfam family "Eukaryotic small subunit ribosomal RNA", at positions 1786 to 1831 of the family's 1831-position model. Lineage: Eukaryota; Fungi. The record is from RNAcentral.
AAGUCGUAACAAGGUUUCCGUAGGUGAACCUGCGGAAGGAUCAUUAACACGUAUCCAACGUUAAACCCCCGUGCAUUUUAACCCUGCUCUCUUCGCCUUGACAAAGCAAUCUCUGGUAAAUCGAGACGCGUGGAUGGAGCGGUAGAGCAAUUAGACCUGGUUUCCGAAAGGAUAACUGAUAUUUACUCAGAUCGUUGACCCUCACGGUCAGCGGACAGGUCUCUGGGCUUACGCCCCAUUUAUUAACCCCCAAUGUAGGUGAAAGUAGUGCUGCGUAAAGUAGGCACACAAAAACGAACAACUGUUAACAAUGGAUAUCUUGGUUCUC